RNAcentral lists this ribosomal RNA (465 nucleotides) under uncultured bacterium. RNAcentral describes it as "partial 16S ribosomal RNA". It matches the Rfam family "Bacterial small subunit ribosomal RNA", at positions 338 to 795 of the family's 1533-position model. The record is from RNAcentral.
CCUACGGGCGGCAGCAGUAGGGAAUCUUCCACAAUGGGCGAAAGCCUGAUGGAGCAACGCCGCGUGGGUGAAGAAGGUCUUCGGAUCGUAAAACCCUGUUGUUAGAGAAGAAAGUGCGGGAGAGUAACUGUUCACGUUUCGACGGUAUCUAACCAGAAAGCCACGGCUAACUACGUGCCAGCAGCCGCGGUAAUACGUAGGUGGCAAGCGUUAUCCGGAUUUGUUGGGCGUAAAGGGAACGCAGGCGGUCUUUUAAGUCUGAUGUGAAAGCCUUCGGCUUAACCGGAGUAGUGCAUUGGAAACUGGGAGACUUGAGUGCAGAAGAGGAGAGUGGAACUCCAGGUGUAGCGGUGAAAUGCGUAGAUAUAUGGAAGAACACCAGUGGCGAAAGCGGCUCUCUGGUCUGUAACUGACGCUGAGGUUCGAAAGCGUGGGUAGCAAACAGGAUUAGAUACCCUGGUAGUC